AGAACGAACGCUGGCGGCGUGGAUAAGACAUGCAAGUCGAACGCGACUUAUCGUGUUAGCAAUAACAUGGUAAGUUGAGUGGCGAAAGGGUGCGUAACACGUGGGAAAUUACCAAGAAGUGGGGAAUAGCUCGACGAAAGUCGAAUUAAUACCGCAUAUGAUCGCAAGAUCAAAGUCGGGGACCGCAAGGCCUGACGCUUUUUGAGAUGCCCGCGGCCCAUCAGCUAGUUGGUGAGGUAAAAGCUCACCAAGGCUAUGACGGGUAGCUGGUCUGAGAGGACGACCAGCCACACUGGAACUGAGACACGGUCCAGACACCUACGGGUGGCAGCAGUCGAGAAUUUUUCACAAUGGAC
This 356-nucleotide ribosomal RNA is filed under the name uncultured bacterium. RNAcentral's name for it is "SSU rRNA". It matches the Rfam family "Bacterial small subunit ribosomal RNA", at positions 26 to 376 of the family's 1533-position model. The record is from RNAcentral.